RNAcentral lists this long non-coding RNA (932 nucleotides) under Homo sapiens (human). RNAcentral describes it as "HSALNT0294564". The record is from RNAcentral. Lineage: Eukaryota; Metazoa; Chordata; Mammalia; Primates; Hominidae.
GCCAUAUUAAGUGUGGCGGCCAGUGUUAGAAGCCAUCUUGGCUGACCAAUACCUCGCGAUAUUCUGUCUGCAGUCCUUCCCUUGUUGAUCUUUUUAGUUUUCCACCUUCCUUUCAGUUUCAGUUUAGAUGUAAUUUUAUCUGUGAGGCUUCCCUUAGCUUCUUCAGUCAGUUUAGUUACCCCUCCUUCCUCUAAAUCGCUUUGCACUUAUAACUCAUAGCCUUGUUCAAGGCUUAGGCGGAAUUUUGUAAUGAACAAAAUGGAUAGGAUCCUAGUCUUCACAGAGUUACCGUUGUGACAAGUGCUUGUCAUUCAUUCAUUCAACAAACAUUUAAUAAAUGUCUCCUGUGCACCAAGCAGUGGGAUAAAAUGAGGAACAAGUGUCUGCAGUCACGCAACAAAAAAUGGAUUAAGACGCCAAGAGUGGAGAGUCCCUGCACAAACUGGAUUCAACAAGGACAGAAAGGAAGCCCAAACGCUUUACAUAUUGCCUGCUUUACACCCCAGGCUCAAGUCCAGAAAGUCCCUGUGAUACAACUCUCCAGUGAUUUCCCCUGAGGUCCAACCUAGUAGGUGCUUAAAAAGUCUUUGUUGUAAAUUAAUAAAUUAAUCCAAAACCACCACACUGCUAUUUCCUCCUACCUAUCUUCCUGUGCCUAUCAUAAGCUGUAUCACCCGGGGAAAAACAUUUUUCAGCUAAAUUUAGAACAGGGAGGGUUUUGGUUCCAUAAUUCCACUUCUAGUAAUAGAUUCUAAGGAAAUAAUCAGAUUUAGAUAAAGAUAGGUGUAUGAUAAUAUUCAGGCAAUGGUGUUUUCAAUAGUGUAAAGUUGGGAUCAACCUAAUUUGAAAAAUAGCCAAUAAGAAAAUGGCUAACUUUGAGGGGCCAGGCACCGUGGCUCAUGCCUGUAAUCUCAGCACUUUGGGAAGUUGAG